Molecule: non-coding RNA, 99 nt
Organism: Acanthosepion pharaonis
Lineage: Eukaryota; Metazoa; Mollusca; Cephalopoda; Sepiida; Sepiidae
Source: the annotation of a GenBank genome assembly
GUUGAAAUACCGGUUCCCUUACGAUCGCUGAAGUUAAGCAACAUUGAGGCUAAUCAGUAUCGAGAUGGGUAACCGCUAGGGAAUACCAGGUGCUGUAAG